CUGGAAAGAAUCGAAGCGUCAAUUUCAAGCAUUUACAGAGAAUCACUAUUGAAAGUUCAAAGGCCGACUAGUGAGCUUCAUACUAUCUCAUUUUUUAAUCAGGCGAUGGAUCGACGAAUCGUAUUGAUUUCGAGGAUUAUUAUAGUUCUGUGGGAAUUUUAAAGCGUGGUUUGUCUAAUCUUGUCUCGUUAGCUACAGACUCUUUGGCGAGCAGCCUGAAACUUGAUCCAGUUUCGAGAAAAUGAAAAAUUCGUUUUUCCUCUUUGCUUCCCUGUUCCUUCUUUCCUCCUUUUUCCCUUUUUACAUCGCGUUAAGACCCGUUAAAUAAUAUUGACUGCCGUGGACGCUGGCUGAGAAGUGCACUUUAUAACUAGCUUUAAAAUCACUGACGUCGAUGAGGACAAAGAUACUUCUGGCUUGUGCAUUUCUUUUCGCUUUUCGUCGCUACUUACGACUCUUACGACUUACGUCUUACGACUAGGAACAUGUAUUGCAGUUUGAAACUUUACAUGAGAAUGAUGAUGAUUGCGGUCUGUAUACCGCCAGCAUUUCUUUUCAUCCUUCCAUUACAGACUGGUAAGUUGAUACUGAUUAAUUAUGCGAUCGAAAUCCUAUAUAAUGGCUACAAAAAAUAUUUGCAUCAUUAUUCUCGUUUCCUAAUGAAUCGCUGUUUUAAUCAAGUUUUAUAUUGCAUCAAAUUUCUGUAGUUACACGAAAGUACUAAAUUAUAGAAAACUUGAUAUACACGGAUUUAAUUAAUUGAUAAAUUAGUCAAUAUAUAGGCAUUAUUAUUUCACGUGAAAUUUUACAACGUCAAAAACCUAAUAUUCCUGUACGAGCAGUAUUAAUCACAAAUUGUGAGAAUGCCUACUGAUAAGGAAGAAAGAUAAUAUAGAAAACGCAGACUUGUGGAAAGAGAAUCCCUGACAUUAGACACGAAUACGCGA
Molecule: long non-coding RNA, 947 nt
Organism: Bombus huntii
Lineage: Eukaryota; Metazoa; Arthropoda; Insecta; Hymenoptera; Apidae
Exons: 2
Source: RefSeq, a predicted model, not a curated record